AAGUUUUUCGCUAAGGGAUCAGUCUAUGUCCCAUCAGCUUGUUGGUGAGGUAAUGGCUCACCAAGGCUAUGACGGAUAUCUGGUUUGAGAGGAUGAUCAGACACACUGGAACUGAGACACGGUCCAGACUCCUACGGGAGGCAGCAGUGAGGAAUAUUGCACAAUGGAGGAAACUCUGAUGCAGCAACGCCGCGUGGAGGAUGACGCAUUUCGGUGUGUAAACUCCUUUUAUUAGGGAAGAUAAUGACGGUACCUAAUGAAUAAGCACCGGCUAACUCCGUGCCAGCAGCCGCGGUAAUACGGAGGGUGCAAGCGUUACUCGGAAUCACUGGGCGUAAAGGGUGCGUAGGCUGGCUUUUAAGUCAGAUGUGAAAUCCAAUGGCUCAACCAUUGAACUGCAUUUGAAACUGAAAGCCUAGAGUUCAGAAGGGGCAGAUGGAAUUAGUGGUGUAGGGGUAAAAUCCGUAGAUAUCACUAGGAAUAUCAAAAGCGAAGGCGAUCUGCUGGGAUGAUACUGAC
RNAcentral lists this ribosomal RNA (519 nucleotides) under uncultured bacterium. Its description in RNAcentral is "bacterial SSU rRNA". It matches the Rfam family "Bacterial small subunit ribosomal RNA", at positions 208 to 744 of the family's 1533-position model. The record is from RNAcentral.